CUGAAAUCUUAGGUAAAUCCGGGGUUUCAAGGCCGAGAGCUGAUGACGAGUCGUCUUUUAGAUGACGAAGUGGUUGAUGCCAUGCUUCCAAGAAAAGCUUCUAAGCUUCAGGUAACCAGGAACCGUACCCCAAACCGACACAGGUGGUCGGGUAGAGAAUACCAAGGCGCUUGAGAGAACUCGGGUGAAGGAACUAGGCAAAAUGGCACCGUAACUUCGGGAGAAGGUGCGCCGGCUAGGGUGAAGGAUUUACUCCGUAAGCUCUGGCUGGUCGAAGAUACCAGGCCGCUGCGACUGUUUAUUAAAAACACAGCACUCUGCAAACACGAAAGUGGACGUAUAGGGUGUGACGCCUCCCCGGUGCCGGAAGGUUAAUUGAUGGGGUUAGCGCAAGCGAAGCUCUUGAUCGAAGCCCCGGUAAACGGCGGCCGUAACAAUAACGGUCCUAAGGUAGCGAAAUUCCUUGUCGGGUAAGUUCCGACCUGCACGAAUGGCGUAACGAUGGCGGCGCUGUCUCCACCCGAGACUCAGUGAAAUUGAAAUCGCUGUGAAGAUGCAGUGUAUCCGCGGCUAGACGGAAAGACCCCGUGAACCUUUACUGUAGCUUUGCACUGGACUUUGAGCCUGCUUGUGUAGGAUAGGUGGGAGGCUUUGAAGCGUGGACGCCAGUUCGCGUGGAGCCAUCCUUGAAAUACCACCCUGGCAUGCUUGAGGUUCUAACUCUGGUCCGUAAUCCGGAUCUAGGACAGUGUAUGGUGGGCAGUUUGACUGGGGCGGUCUCCUCCUAAAGAGUAACGGAGGAGUACGAAGGUGCGCUCAGACCGGUCGGAAAUCGGUCGCAGAGUAUAAAGGCAAAAGCGCGCUUGACUGCGAGACAGACACGUCGAGCAGGUACGAAAGUAGGUCUUAGUGAUCCGGUGGUUCUGUAUGGAAGGGCCAUCGCUCAACGGAUAAAAGGUACUCCGGAUAACAGGCUGAUACCGCCCAAGAGUUCAUAUCGACGGCGGUGUUUGGCACCUCGAUGUCGGCUCAUCACAUCCUGGGGCUGAAGCCGGUCCCAAGGGUAUGGCUGUUCGCCAUUUAAAGUGGUACGCGAGCUGGGUUUAGAACGUCGUGAGACAGUUCGGUCCCUAUCUGCCGUGGACGUUUGAGAUUUGAGAGGGGCUGCUCCUAGUACGAGAGGACCGGAGUGGACGAACCUCUGGUGUUCCGGUUGUCACGCCAGUGGCAUUGCCGGGUAGCUAUGUUCGGAAAAGACAACCGCUGAAAGCAUCUAAGCGGGAAACUUGCCUCAAGAUGAGAUCUCACUGGGAACUUGAUUCCCCUGAAGGGCCGUCGAAGACUACGACGUUGAUAGGCUGGGUGUGUAAGCGUUGUGAGGCGUUGAGCUAACCAGUACUAAUUGCCCGUGAGGCUUGACC
Molecule: ribosomal RNA, 1421 nt
Filed under: metagenome
Description: bacterial LSU rRNA
Rfam family: Bacterial large subunit ribosomal RNA
Source: RNAcentral